This 497-nucleotide ribosomal RNA is filed under the name uncultured bacterium. RNAcentral describes it as "partial 16S ribosomal RNA". It matches the Rfam family "Bacterial small subunit ribosomal RNA", at positions 28 to 507 of the family's 1533-position model. The record is from RNAcentral.
GAUGAACGCUGGCGGCGUGCCUAAUACAUGCAAGUCGAGCGAACAGACGAGGAGCUUGCUCCUCUGACGUUAGCGGCGGACGGGUGAGUCACACGUGGAUAACCUACCUAUAAGACUGGGAUAACUUCGGGAAACCGGAGCUAAUACCGGAUAAUAUAUUGAACCGCAUGGUUCAAUAGUGAAAGACGGUUUUGCUGUCACUUAUAGAUGGAUCCGCGCCGCAUUAGCUAGUUGGUAAGGUAACGGCUUACCAAGGCAACGAUGCGUAGCCGACCUGAGAGGGUGAUCGGCCACACUGGAACUGAGACACGGUCCAGACUCCUACGGGAAGCAGCAGUAGGGAAUCUUCCGCAAUGGGCGAAAGCCUGACGGAGCAACGCCGCGUGAGUGAUGAAGGUCUUCGGAUCGUAAAACUCUGUUAUUAGGGAAGAACAAAUGUGUAAGUAACUAUGCACGUCUUGACGGUACCUAAUCAGAAAGCCACGGCUAACUACGUG